Long non-coding RNA from Sapajus apella (tufted capuchin), 1554 nucleotides. RefSeq lists it as uncharacterized. The record is from RefSeq and is a predicted model, not a curated record. Lineage: Eukaryota; Metazoa; Chordata; Mammalia; Primates; Cebidae. The transcript is spliced from 2 exons.
ACUCUCACUGCAGUCACCUUUCUGAAAAUGAAACCCUGAUAUUCAACUGAAACACGUGGAAAUCAAAACAGGUGAUGGACAAAAGUUGAAAGGUUGAAUCUGUGGUUUAAAUUAUUGUGUCCUCAGCUUGAAUGAGGGUGGAUGAAGUGCAGAUCCGACUGGAAUGCCUUCUAGAUUUGUGAAGUGGAAUGAGCCAUAAAGAAAGAAUGCAGUUAUAUAGCUUAGUAUAACAAAAUAUCUUUCCCGCCUCACAUUUAAAAAAAUUUUUGCCUGAUCUCAGGGUUCCAGGCCCAAGUCUAGCACCAGUGCUUAACCAUGGCAGAGAAGAAUCAACUUCCCAGGUACCUUCACGUAUUUUGGGGCCUAUAAAGGGUGGAGUUCCUCCCAGGCAGGGUGCCUGGAGUCUCCUAGAUGUCUGAGAGGACUUUGGACAUGAUACGGGCAAGUGUGCAGGUGCGGGGAUGGUCGCAUUUAACAGAGUCCAGGAACAUAACUUCUGAGAGCACAUGCUGUACCGAGAACUUUGAUACCUGUCACAAAAUACCAUAUCUAUACAUUUAAAUUUGGCGUGCAUAAUCCUAAUAGUAUUUUAGGGUGGAAUAUAACCUCACACCAUGUAGGCUUGUGGAAGCCAACUUUGUAUGCAACUCAGUUACCGGCUUGGUUAGGCUUCUUCUUGGCCCCAUCGCAGGUUAAACGGUACCUUGAAACUGGUUUCACCACUGGGAAAAAGAUGUGUGUCCAGGAGAUAAUGAAAAGCGUUAGAGAGAGAUGACAGCACACCGUGGGGGCAUUCUUAAGUGUGGGACGCUUCCAGAUAGGAUUGCUGUUAUGCUGUUUCUAAGAACAGUACUCUGAACUAGCCUCUGAGCUCUGGCACGGACUAAUGGCCAAUUCUGGAAGAAAUCAUUGUUCCUUUUCUUAAACAAGGAAAAUCGAACUCCUCCUGAUUUCGCUAAAAUCUCCGCAAAACGAUUUGGAGAACAGACACAAAGCACUGUUUCUUUCAGUUGUGAUCUCCCUUUACUGAUGGAGAGCCUGGACAAUGAAAAAAGCUAGCCCUGUCAAUUUUCAUUGUAAACAGAGAGUGACAGACUGCCUGGUAAAUACAUCAACAGUCCUUACUAUGGAAAACCUUCUUACAUGUGGAAUGCUUUUACUAAGAUGUGUCUGAUCUUUGUAGGACUCUUCAUGGUGGUCUAACCUGGAAUCUGUAGAUUUACAUGUCCUUGUUCCUUGGAACCCCUCACCUAAUCUAUGCUACUGUCAGGGUUAUCAAAUGGAGAGGACCAAAACUGACUCCAUAUUAUGUGAAUAUUCUCUUAUGCAAUUCCCUGACCUUUCUUAAAACAGAGAUCAUGUCCUUUGCGGGAACAUGGAUGGAGCUGGAGCCCAUUAUCCUUAGCAAACCAGCUCAGGAACAGAAAACCAAAUACUGCAGGUUCUGACUUACAGGUGGCAGCUAAAUAAUGAAAACACAGCAACACGAAGAGGGGAGCAACAGACACUGAGGCUUACCUGAGGGUGGAAGAUGGGAGGAGGGAGAGGAGCAGA